ACUCCGUACUGGAAGUAGGAGGAGAGUCGGGACUCCCAGGACAGGGAGUGCACAAACUAUCCAGCACAGCCCCCUCCGCCCCCUUUGGAGGCUGAAGAGGGAUUCCAGCCUCUGCCACCCACAGACAGGGGCUGACUGGGGUGUCUGCCCCCCUUGGGGGGGCAGCACAGGGCCUCAGGCCUGGGUGCCGCCUGGCACCUAGAAGAUGCCUGUGCCCUGGUUCUUGCUGUCCUUGGCACUGGGCCGAAGCCCAGUGGUCCUUUCUCUGGAGAGGCUUGUGGGGCCUCAGGACGCUACCCACUGCUCUCCGGGCCUCUCCUGCCACCUCUGGGGUGCCACCAAAUUCUGGGCUUGGAACAGCUUCAGCUCCCACCCACCCCUCCACACACAGACAGUGACAUACUCUGCCUGCCUGGGGACAUCAUGCCUGCUCCGGGCCCCGUGCUGGCGCCUACACAUCUGCAGACAGAGCUGGUGCUGAGGUGCCACAAGGAGGCCGACUGUGACCUCUGUGUGCGUGUGGCUGUCCACUUGGCCGUGCAUGGGCACUGGGAAGAGCCUGAAGAUGAGGAAAAGUUUGGAGGAGCAGCUGACCCAGGGGUGGAGGAGCCUAGGAAUGCCUCUCUCCAGGCCCAAGUCGUGCUCUCCUUCCAGGCCUACCCUACUGCCCGCUGUGUCCUGCUGGAGGUGCAAGUGCCUGCUGCCCUUGUGCAGUUUGGUCAGUCUGUGGGCUCUGUGGUAUAUGACUGCUUCGAGGCUGCCCUAGGGAGUGAGGUACGAAUCUGGUCCUAUACUCAGCCCAGGUACGAGAAGGAACUCAACCUCACACAGCAGCUGCCUGCCCUGCCCUGGCUCAACGUGUCAGCAGAUGGUGACAACGUGCAUCUUGUUCUGAAUGUCUCUGAGGAGCAGCACUUCGGCCUCUCCCUGUACUGGAAUCAGGUCCAGGGCCCCCCAAAACCCCGGUGGCACAAAAACCUGGUGAGGCCUCCCCCUUCCCAAGUCCAUUCCCACUGUAGGCCGAUGCCUGUGCAAAGGACGCAGUGCCUUAUCAAAGAAGACCCUUGAAGAGGACUCACCCCAAGCAAGGGAACACUGACUGGACCGCAAAUCAUUACCUUGAACCACACAGACCUGGUUCCCUGCCUCUGUAUUCAGGUGUGGCCUCUGGAACCUGACUCCGUUAGGACGAACAUCUGCCCCUUCAGGGAGGACCCCCGCGCACACCGGAACCUCUGGCGAGCCGCCCGCCUGCGACUGCUGACCCUGCAGAGCUGGCUGCUGGACGCACCGUGCUCGCUGCCCGCAGAAGCGGCACUGUGCUGGCGGGCUCCGGGUGGGGACCCCUGCCAGCCACUGGUCCCACCGCUUUCCUGGGAGAAUGUCACUGUGGAUAAGGUUCUCGAGUUCCCAUUGCUGAAAGGCCACCCUAACCUCUGUGUUCAGCAGGUGAACAGCUGGGAGAAGCUGCAGCUGCAGGAGUGCUUGUGGGCUGCUAUGGGAUGAUGACUUGGGAGCGCUAUGGGCCUGCCCCAUGGACAAAUACAUCCACAAGCGCUGGGCCCUCGUGUGGCUGGCCUGCCUACUCUUUGCCGCUGCGCUUUCCCUCAUCCUCCUUCUCAAAAAGGAUCAUGCGAAAGAGUGGCUGAGGCUCUUGAAACAGGACGUCCGGUCGGGGGCGGCCGCCAGAAGCCGCGCGGCUCUGCUCCUCUACUCAGCCGAUGACUCGGGCUUCGAGCGCCUGGUUGGCGCCCUGGCGUCGGCGCUGUGCCAGCUGCCGCUGCGCGUAGCCGUAGACCUGUGGAGCCGUCGUGAACUGAGCGCGCAGGGGCCCGUGGCUUGGUUCCACGCGCAGCGGCGCCAGACCCUGCAGGAGGGAGGCGUGGUGGUCUUGCUCUUCUCGCCUGGUGCGGUGGCGCUGUGCAGCGAGUGGCUACAGGACGGGGUGUCCGCGCCCGGGGCGCACGGCCCGCACGACGCCUUCCGCGCCUCGCUCAGCUGCGUGCUGCCCGACUUCUUGCAGGGCCGUGCGCCCGGCAGCUACGUGGGGGCCUGCUUCGACAGGCUGCUCCACCCGGACGCCGUACCCGCCCUUUUCCGCACCGUGCCCGUCUUCACACUGCCCUCCCAACUGCCGGACUUCCUGGGGGCCCUGCAGCAGCCCCGCGCCGCGCGUUCCGGGCGGCUCCAAGAGAGGGCGGAGCAAGUGUCCCGGGCCCUUCAGCCAGCCCUGGAUAGCUACUUCCAUCCCCCGGGGACUCCCGCGCCGGGACGUGGGGUGGGACCUGGGGCGGGGGACGGGACUUAAAUAAAGGCAGACGCUGUUUUUCUA
Molecule: small RNA, 2332 nt
Filed under: Pongo abelii (Sumatran orangutan)
Lineage: Eukaryota; Metazoa; Chordata; Mammalia; Primates; Hominidae
Description: processed transcript
Source: RNAcentral